This 391-nucleotide ribosomal RNA is filed under the name uncultured Chrysophyceae. RNAcentral's name for it is "partial small subunit ribosomal RNA". It matches the Rfam family "Eukaryotic small subunit ribosomal RNA", at positions 30 to 432 of the family's 1831-position model. Lineage: Eukaryota; Chrysophyceae. The record is from RNAcentral.
GCUUGUCUCAAAGAUUAAGCCAUGCAUGUCUUAGUGUAAAUAACUCUUAUGAAACUGCGAAUGGCUCAUUAAAUCAGUUAUCGUUUAUUUGAUGAUCUCUUACUACUUGGAUAACCGUAGUAAUUCUAGAGCUAAUACAUGCGUCAAACCUCGACUUCUGGGAGAGGUGUAUUUAUUAGAUGGAAACCAAUGCGGGGCAACCCGGAUUAUGGUGAUUCAUAAUAACUUUCAGAUCGAUCGCAAGAUCGAUGCAUCAUUCAAGUUUCUGCCCUAUCAGCUUUGGAUGGUAGGGUAUUGGCCUACCAUGGCUUUAACGGGUAACGGAGAAUUAGGGUUCGAUUCCGGAGAGGCAGCCUGAGAAACGGCUACCACAUCCAAGGAAGGCAGCAGG